RNAcentral lists this ribosomal RNA (254 nucleotides) under uncultured Pseudomonas sp. Its description in RNAcentral is "partial 16S ribosomal RNA". It matches the Rfam family "Bacterial small subunit ribosomal RNA", at positions 99 to 354 of the family's 1533-position model. The record is from RNAcentral. Lineage: Bacteria; Pseudomonadati; Pseudomonadota; Gammaproteobacteria; Pseudomonadales; Pseudomonadaceae.
CGGACGGGUGAGUAAUGCCUAGGAAUCUGCCUGGUAGUGGGGGACAACGUUUCGAAAGGAACGCUAAUACCGCAUACGUCCUACGGGAGAAAGCAGGGGACCUUCGGGCCUUGCGCUAUCAGAUGAGCCUAGGUCGGAUUAGCUAGUUGGUGAGGUAAUGGCUCACCAAGGCGACGAUCCGCAACUGGUCUGAGAGGAUGAUCAGUCACACUGGAACUGAGACACGGUCCAGACUCCUACGGGAGGCAGCAGGC